CGAACGUGGGUAACCGUACGCCCACUCAGAGGGGAGGUAACAUUCGGAAACGGAUGCUAAAACCGCAUAGGUCUUCGAACCGCAUGGUUUGAAGAGGAAAAGAGGCGCAAGCUUCUGCUGAUGGAUGGACCCGCGGUGCAUUAGCUAGUUGGUGAGGUAACGGCUCACCAAGGCCGUGAUGCAUAGCCGACCUGAGAGGGUGAUCGGCCACAUUGGGACUGAGACACGGCCCAA
This 234-nucleotide ribosomal RNA is filed under the name uncultured bacterium. Its description in RNAcentral is "partial 16S ribosomal RNA". It matches the Rfam family "Bacterial small subunit ribosomal RNA", at positions 112 to 334 of the family's 1533-position model. The record is from RNAcentral.